UACGUAGGGGGCAAGCGUUGUCCGGAUUUAUUGGGCGUAAAGAGCGUGUAGGCGGCUUGGUAGGUCCGCUGUGAAAACUCGAGGCUCAACCUCGAGAUGUCGGCGGAAACCACUUGGCUAGAGUCCGGAAGAGGAGAGUGGAAUUCCCGGUGUAGCGGUGAAAUGCGUAGAGAUCGGGAGGAACAUCAGUGGCGAAGGCGGCCAUCUGGGACAACACUGACGCUGAAGCACGAAAGCGUGGGGAGCAAACAGG
Molecule: ribosomal RNA, 253 nt
Filed under: uncultured bacterium
Lineage: Bacteria
Description: partial 16S ribosomal RNA
Rfam family: Bacterial small subunit ribosomal RNA
Source: RNAcentral